GAUGAACGCUGGCGGCGUGCCUAAUACAUGCAAGUCGAGCGAACGGACGAGAAGCUUGCUUCUCUGAUGUUAGCGGCGGACGGGUGAGUAACACGUGGAUAACCUACCUAUAAGACUGGGAUAACUUCGGGAAACCGGAGCUAAUACCGGAUAAUAUUUUGAACCGCAUGGUUCAAAAGUGAAAGACGGUCUUGCUGUCACUUAUAGAUGGAUCCGCGCUGCAUUAGCUAGUUGGUAAGGUAACGGCUUACCAAGGCAACGAUGCAUAGCCGACCUGAGAGGGUGAUCGGCCACACUAGAGCUGAGACACGGUCCAGACUCCUACGGGAGGCAGCAGUAGGGAAUCUUCCGCAAUGGGCGAAAGCCUGACGGAGCAACGCCGCGUGGGUGAUGAAGGUCUUCGGAUCGUAAAACUCUGUUAUUAGGGGAGAACAUAUGUGUAAGUAACUGUGCACAUCUUGACGGUACCUAAUCAGAAAGCCACGGCUAACUACGUG
RNAcentral lists this ribosomal RNA (497 nucleotides) under uncultured bacterium. RNAcentral's name for it is "partial 16S ribosomal RNA". It matches the Rfam family "Bacterial small subunit ribosomal RNA", at positions 28 to 507 of the family's 1533-position model. The record is from RNAcentral.